Molecule: small nuclear RNA, 104 nt
Organism: Hyaena hyaena (striped hyena)
Lineage: Eukaryota; Metazoa; Chordata; Mammalia; Carnivora; Hyaenidae
Source: RefSeq, a predicted model, not a curated record
GUGUUUGCUCUGGGGGCACAUAUGCUAAGGUUGGAACAGAACAGAAAUUAGCGUGGCCCUUAUGCAAGGAUGAUACACAAAUUUGUGAAAUGUUCCAUGUUAAA